UACGGGGGGGGCAAGCGUUGUUCGGAAUUACUGGGCGUAAAGGGCUCGUAGGCGGCCAACUAAGUCGGACGUGAAAUCCCCAGGCUCAACCUGGGAACUGCGUCCGAUACUGGAUGGCUUGAAUUCGGGAGAGGGAUGCAGAAUUCCAGGUGUAGCGGUGAAAUGCGUAGAUAUCUGGAGGAAUACCGGUGGCGAAGGCGGCAUCCUGGACCGACAUUGACGCUGAUGAGCGAAAGCUAAGGGGAGCAAACGGGGAUUAAGAUGAUCCCUUGUAGUCCCU
This 280-nucleotide ribosomal RNA is filed under the name uncultured bacterium. RNAcentral describes it as "partial 16S ribosomal RNA". It matches the Rfam family "Bacterial small subunit ribosomal RNA", at positions 524 to 798 of the family's 1533-position model. The record is from RNAcentral.